GAUGAACGCUGGCGGCGUGCCUAAUACAUGCCAGUCGAGCGAACAGACGAGGAGCUUGCUCCUCUGACGUUAGCGGCGGACGGGUGAGUAACACGUGGAUAACCUACCUAUAAGACUGGGAUAACUUCGGGAAACCGGAGCUAAUACCGGAUAAUAUAUUGAACCGCAUGGUUCAAUAGUGAAAGACGGUUUUGCUGUCACUUAUAGAUGGAUCCGCGCCGCAUUAGCUAGUUGGUAAGGUAACGGCUUACCAAGGCAACGAUGCGUAGCCGACCUGAGAGGGUGAUCGGCCACACUGGAACUGAGACACGGUCCAGACUCCUACGGGAGGCAGCAGUAGGGAAUCUCCCGCAAUGGGCGAAAGCUUGACGGAGCAACGCCGCGUGAGUGAUGAAGGUCUUCGGAUCGUAAAACUCUGUUAUUAGGGAAGAACAAAUGUGUAAGUAACUAUGCACGUCUUGACGGUACCUAAUCAGAAAGCCACGGCUAACUACGUG
Molecule: ribosomal RNA, 497 nt
Filed under: uncultured bacterium
Lineage: Bacteria
Description: partial 16S ribosomal RNA
Rfam family: Bacterial small subunit ribosomal RNA
Source: RNAcentral